UACGGAGGGUGCGAGCGUUGUCCGGAAUCAUUGGGCGUAAAGGGCGCGUAGGUGGCGGGACAAGCGUGCGGUGAAAGCUCGGGGCUCAACCCCGAGUCGGCCGUGCGAACUGUUUUGCUUGAGCACUGUAGAGGCAGGCGGAAUUCCGGGUGUAGCGGUGGAAUGCGUAGAGAUCCGGAAGAACACCGGUGGCGAAGGCGGCCUGCUGGGCAGUAGCUGACACUGAGGCGCGACAGCGUGGGGAGCAAACAGGAUUAGAAACCCC
This 265-nucleotide ribosomal RNA is filed under the name uncultured bacterium. RNAcentral describes it as "partial 16S ribosomal RNA". It matches the Rfam family "Bacterial small subunit ribosomal RNA", at positions 524 to 788 of the family's 1533-position model. The record is from RNAcentral.